RNAcentral lists this ribosomal RNA (253 nucleotides) under uncultured bacterium. RNAcentral's name for it is "partial 16S ribosomal RNA". It matches the Rfam family "Bacterial small subunit ribosomal RNA", at positions 524 to 776 of the family's 1533-position model. The record is from RNAcentral.
UACGUAGGGUGCGAGCGUUGUCCGGAAUUACUGGGCGUAAAGAGCUCGUAGGUGGUUUGUCGCGUUGUUCGUGAAAUCUCACGGCUUAACUGUGAGCGUGCGGGCGAUACGGGCAGACUUGAGUACUGCUGGGGAGACUGGAAUUCCUGGUGUAGCGGUGGAAUGCGCAGAUAUCAGGAGGAACACCGGUGGCGAAGGCGAGUCUCUGGGCAGUAACUGACGCUGAGGAGCGAAAGCGUGGGGAGCGAACAGG